This 532-nucleotide ribosomal RNA is filed under the name uncultured Pseudomonadota bacterium. RNAcentral's name for it is "bacterial SSU rRNA". It matches the Rfam family "Bacterial small subunit ribosomal RNA", at positions 371 to 896 of the family's 1533-position model. The record is from RNAcentral. Lineage: Bacteria; Pseudomonadati; Pseudomonadota.
AUGGGCGCAAGCCUGAUCCAGCAAUGCCGCGUGCGGGAAGAAGGCCUUCGGGUUGUAAACCGCUUUUGUCAGGGAAGAAAAGGUCUGGGCUAAUACCCCGGGAUGAUGACGGUACCUGAAGAAUAAGCACCGGCUAACUACGUGCCAGCAGCCGCGGUAAUACGUAGGGUGCAAGCGUUAAUCGGAAUUACUGGGCGUAAAGCGUGCGCAGGCGGUUAUGCAAGACAGAUGUGAAAUCCCCGGGCUCAACCUGGGAACUGCAUUUGUGACUGCAUAGCUUGAGUGCGGCAGAGGGGGAUGGAAUUCCGCGUGUAGCAGUGAAAUGCGUAGAUAUGCGGAGGAACACCGAUGGCGAAGGCAAUCCCCUGGGCCUGCACUGACGCUCAUGCACGAAAGCGUGGGGAGCAAACAGGAUUAGAUACCCUGGUAGUCCACGCCCUAAACGAUGUCAACUGGUUGUUGGGAAGGUUCCUUCUCAGUAACGAAGCUAACGCGUGAAGUUGACCGCCUGGGGAGUACGGCCGCAAGGUUG